This 1245-nucleotide ribosomal RNA is filed under the name metagenome. RNAcentral describes it as "bacterial LSU rRNA". It matches the Rfam family "Bacterial large subunit ribosomal RNA", at positions 1564 to 2819 of the family's 2925-position model. The record is from RNAcentral.
UGAAUACGAGACGCUAAGGCGUCGAAGUAGUGUAUGUCAUACUUCCAAGAAAAGCUUGCACUGUCAUAGAUAAAAAACGCCUGUACCAUAACCGACACAGGUGGGUAGGUAGAGUAUACUAAGGGGCGCGAGAUAACUCUCUCUAAGGAACUCGGCAAAAUAACUCCGUAACUUCGGGAGAAGGAGUGCCUUAUUCGUAAGGUUGCAAUAACAAGAUCCAAGCAACUGUUUAUCAAAAACACAGGUCUCCGCUAAGUCGUAAGACGAUGUAUGGGGGCUGACGCCUGCCCAGUGCCAGAAGGUUAAAGAAGUGGGUUAGCAAUUGCGAAGCUGAUAACUGAAGCCCUGGUGAACGGCGGCCGUAAUAAUAACGGUCCUAAGGUAGCGAAAUUCCUUGUCGGGUAAGUUCCGACCCGCACGAAAGGCGUAAUGAUUUGGAUACUGUCUCGGAGAGGGGCUCGGUGAAAUAGACUUGUCUGUGAAGAUGCGGACUACCUGCACCAGGACAGAAAGACCCUAUGAAGCUUUACUGUAACUUGAAAUUGAAAUUGGACUUUAUUCGCGCAGUAUAGGUGGGAGGCGUUGAUUAUAAUCUUGUGGGAUUAUUGGAGCCAUCGGUGAGGUACCACUCUUGUAAUGUUAGAUUUCUAACUUUGAAUCAUUAUCUGGUCAAAGAACAGUUUCAGGCGGGCAGUUUGACUGGGGCGGUCGCCUCCUAAACGGUAACGGAGGCGUACAAAGGUUUCCUCUGAACGGUUAGAAAUCGUAUCUAGAGUGUAAAGGCAUAAGGAAGCUUGACUGUGAGACCUACAAGUCGAGCAGGGACGAAAGUCGGUCUUAGUGAUCUGACGGUACUGAGUGGAAAGGCCGUCACUCAACGGAUAAAAGUUACUCUAGGAUAACAGGCUGAUCUCCCCCAAGAGUUCACAUCGACGGGGAGGUUUGGCACCUCGAUGUCGGCUCAUCGCAUCCUGGGGCGGUAGUACGUCCCAAGGGUUGGGCUGUUCGCCCAUGAAAGCGGUACGCGAGCUGGGUUCAGAACGUCGUGAGACAGUUCGGUCCAUAUCCGGUGUAGGCGUUAGAAUAUUGAGAGGAGCCUUCUUUAGUACGAGAGGACCGAGAAGGACAUACCUCUGGUGUACCAGUUAUCGUGCCAACGGUAAACGCUGGGUAGCUAUGUAUGGAGUGGAUAACCGCUGAAAGCAUCUAAGUGGGAAGCCCACCUCAAGAUAAGUAUUCUCAUCA